Molecule: long non-coding RNA, 436 nt
Organism: Suricata suricatta (meerkat)
Lineage: Eukaryota; Metazoa; Chordata; Mammalia; Carnivora; Herpestidae
Exons: 3
Source: RefSeq, a predicted model, not a curated record
UGACCUGCCUUCUCUCCUCCGUGGCCAGGGGAGCCGUUUGACUUGUUACUUUCUUGUUCUGGUUUUGUUCUGUUGCUUUGCUGGCAUCGGGCUCCAGCUGACAGAUCCGAUGUUAACAUCCGUGUUGUAACUUUCCAUGACUAUCCUGGGGUCACUGAAGACAGGACGGUUGUUUCCUGAAUCCCAAGGCUCUGGGCUUCAUACUGACCUCUUCGGACAAACUUAGUUUCGGGUCCAGUGGUUAAAGAAAAAACUUCCAGAAUCCCUCCUUCCUAGUGCUUGCCUCCCAUUGCCCAUCGGUGGAAAAAUCAAAGAGGCUGUUUUCAGUCCUGGCUGCAAAAAGGACAAAGGUGGCGCGGCGUGCCUGCGCGGCCGCCCGAGUCUCUGGAUAUCCGUUCCAGAUGUCGGCUAGACUUGGUGGAGCCAGGCUCACGGC